RNAcentral lists this ribosomal RNA (734 nucleotides) under uncultured bacterium. RNAcentral describes it as "bacterial SSU rRNA". It matches the Rfam family "Bacterial small subunit ribosomal RNA", at positions 653 to 1388 of the family's 1533-position model. The record is from RNAcentral.
AGAGGUAGGCGGAAUGUGACAAGUAGCCGGUGAAAUGCAUAGAUAUGUUCACAGAACACCGAUUGCGAAGGCAGCUUACUAUGAUGAGAUUGACGCUGAGGCACGAAAGCGUGGGGAUCAAACAGGAUUAGAUACCCUGGUUGUCCACGCCCUAAACGAUGAAUACUCGCUGUUAGCGAUACACAGUUAGCGGCUAAGCGAAAGCGUUAAGUAUUCCACCUGGGGAGUACGGUCGCAAGAUUGAAACUCAAAGGAAUUGACGGGGGCCCGCACAAGCGGAGGAGCAUGUGGUUUAAUUCGAUGAUACGCGAGGAACCUUACCCGGGCUUGAAAGUUAGUGAAUCAUUUAGAGAUAGAUGAGUGAGCAAUCACACGAAACUAGGUGCUGCAUGGCUGUCGUCAGCUCGUGCCGUGAGGUGUUGGGUUAAGUCCCGCAACGAGCGCAACCCCUAUGUUUAGUUGCCAGCACGUUAAGGUGGGGACUCUAAACAGACUGCCUGUGCAAACAGAGAGGAAGGAGGGGACGACGUCAAGUCAUCAUGGCCCUUACGUCCGGGGCUACACACGUGCUACAAUGGAUGGUACAGAGGGCAGCAAGCUGGCAACAGCAAGCGAAUCUCCAAAAGCCAUUCACAGUUCGGAUAGAGGUCUGCAACUCGACCUCUUGAAGUUGGAUUCGCUAGUAAUCGCAUAUCAGCAAUGAUGCGGUGAAUACGUUCCCGGGCCUUGUACAC